Molecule: long non-coding RNA, 211 nt
Filed under: Capsicum annuum
Lineage: Eukaryota; Viridiplantae; Streptophyta; Magnoliopsida; Solanales; Solanaceae
Description: long non-coding RNA (CANN_LNC015836)
Source: RNAcentral
ACCUUAAAAUAGCAUAAAGGUUUACAAAAUGAAAACUAGUUAUGAUUCUCUUUACUUUAAAUCAUAUCAAAGUGAACAGCUAUGGAUUUCAUGUAUUAUCUUUAGAUUAAAAGAUCAGGCUUUUCUUGAAAUCAUGUUAUAGAACAUAUUUACUGGAGAUUAAGAGCAUAAACUUCUUGUAAAUUCAGUACUUAUACUUAGGACUUGGAAU